Molecule: ribosomal RNA, 305 nt
Filed under: uncultured bacterium
Lineage: Bacteria
Description: bacterial SSU rRNA
Rfam family: Bacterial small subunit ribosomal RNA
Source: RNAcentral
GUUCCUACGGGAGGCAGCAGUGGGGAAUAUUGGGCAAUGGGCGCAAGCCUGACCCAGCAACGCCGCGUGAAGGAAGAAGGCUUUCGGGUUGUAAACUUCUUUUAAGAGGGAAGAGCAGAAGACGGUACCUCUUGAAUAAGCCACGGCUAACUACGUGCCAGCAGCCGCGGUAAUACGUAGGUGGCAAGCGUUGUCCGGAUUUACUGGGUGUAAAGGGCGUGCAGCCGGGAAGACAAGUCAGAUGUGAAAUCCCGCGGCUCAACCGCGGAACUGCAUUUGAAACUGGCAAACUGGAGUGUGUGAGG